Long non-coding RNA from Pocillopora damicornis (cauliflower coral), 574 nucleotides. NCBI's taxonomy places the organism in Eukaryota, Metazoa, Cnidaria, Anthozoa, Scleractinia, Pocilloporidae. The record is from RefSeq and is a predicted model, not a curated record.
UGAAGUGAUCACCAACUCUACAGAGCUUCGUCACAUUUAAGAAGGACUCAUCAGGAUGAAAGUUUCUUUAAAGUUUUUCCCAAGUUUCCUUGUUUUUUCCUUGCUUCUGGUUUCAUUUUGUUGCGUUGAAGGGCAAAAGAAAGACAGCAAUGGAGCGCAAUUCAAGCGUAACAACGAACGCAUUCCACGGCAAUGCAUGCGGAUAAUCUGGGCAAGGCAUAGAAAAGCUAAAUGCUCUUCUGUGAAGAGAAGGCUAAGAAAAUUACAAGCAGUGAUGAACAAGCCUCCUAUUGAAGAUUCACACGGAGGAGGAGGAGGAGAAUUCCAAAGAGCGGGAGCACUGCUUAAACAAGCGAAGAGAAGGAGAGCAGGAAUAAAUAAUAUGUAAUGUUUGUAUAAAACAAACAGAGAGGAUCGAUUAUAAUGAGAGUUGGAAAAAUUUGGGAAUCAGAAAUUACUUGAAUAUGAAAGCAAACUCAAGUUUGUUAUUUGAGUAACAUGAAAUCUAACGUAUAAAACUUAACAAAAUUGAUUAUGAAUCAAUGUUGAUGUCCAAUAAACUUCUUCAAAUUCG